This is a long non-coding RNA of Cucumis melo (muskmelon), 246 nucleotides long. RefSeq lists it as uncharacterized. The record is from RefSeq and is a predicted model, not a curated record. The transcript has 3 exons. Lineage: Eukaryota; Viridiplantae; Streptophyta; Magnoliopsida; Cucurbitales; Cucurbitaceae.
CUCUUCUGGAAACACACAAGAAUCUCGAAUUCGAAACUUGUGUAGUAGAUUGAUGGUGUCAAAACCCGACCAAGUAGUUCUUGCUCCUUUUAAUCCCGGGGGUCAUUGGGCACUGCUUGCUAUAAAUGCGUAUGAGGAUACAGUGUUUUACCUUGACUCGCUAAGGACGACAUCAAAAGCAACUACAAGAUAUGUAACCGACACAGCAAUAGCGAUAUUUCACUCGCAAAAGAACAUUAAUAAAAA